RNAcentral lists this ribosomal RNA (449 nucleotides) under uncultured bacterium. Its description in RNAcentral is "bacterial SSU rRNA". It matches the Rfam family "Bacterial small subunit ribosomal RNA", at positions 29 to 523 of the family's 1533-position model. The record is from RNAcentral.
AACGAACGCUGGCGGCAUGCCUAACACAUGCAAGUCGAACGAGACCUUCGGGUCUAGUGGCGCACGGGUGCGUAACGCGUGGGAAUCUGCCCUUGGGUUCGGAAUAACAGUUAGAAAUGACUGCUAAUACCGGAUAAUGUCUUCGGACCAAAGAUUUAUCGCCCAGGGAUGAGCCCGCGUAGGAUUAGCUAGUUGGUGAGGUAAAGGCUCACCAAGGCGACGAUCCUUAGCUGGUCUGAGAGGAUGAUCAGCCACACUGGGACUGAGACACGGCCCCAGACUCCUACGGGAGGCAGCAGUGGGGAAUAUUGGACAAUGGCGAAAGCCUGAUCCAGCAAUGCCGCGUGAGUGAUGAAGGCCUUAGGGUUGUAAAGCUCUUUUACCCGGGAUGAUAAUGACAGUACCGGGAGAAUAAGCCCCGGCUAACUCCGUGCCAGCAGCCGCGGUAA